Molecule: unclassified non-coding RNA, 207 nt
Filed under: Glomeraceae sp.
Lineage: Eukaryota; Fungi; Glomeromycota; Glomeromycetes; Glomerales; Glomeraceae
Description: partial contains 5.8S ribosomal RNA and internal transcribed spacer 2
Rfam family: 5.8S ribosomal RNA (bases 1-71)
Source: RNAcentral
GUGAAUCAUCAAAUUUUUGAACGCAAAUCGCACUCCCUGGUAUUCCGGGGAGUAUGCCUGUUUGAGGGUCGUUAGAAUAAAAAAUCGAGGCGUCGCUCUUUUUUUUAAGGCUGAUCGCGUCUGAAUUGAGCAGUCUUUCAAAUGGUAAUUCAUGUCAAAGUGGCUUGAACUUCAUCCAUCCGGUACGAUUAAUGUGUAAUUAAGAAC